GAGCCGCGCUGGGCCGUCUGCACGCCACGCCGCGUCCAGCACGGCGGAUGGGGAGGCUUCUCGGCCGCCGCGUUCCACUUCGGGGCGCGGCUCG
This 94-nucleotide transfer RNA is filed under the name Deinococcus aquiradiocola. RNAcentral describes it as "tRNA-Trp". The record is from RNAcentral. Lineage: Bacteria; Thermotogati; Deinococcota; Deinococci; Deinococcales; Deinococcaceae.